CAUCUACUCCCUCCGUCCGAAAAUACUUGUCAUCAAAAUAAAUAGGAGGGGAUGUAUCUAGAUGUAUAGUUCUAGAUACUCCCUCCGUCCGAAAAUAGUUCUAGAUACAUCCCUUUUUAUCCAUUUUGAUGACAAGUAUAUUCGGACGGAGGGAGUAGACA
Molecule: non-coding RNA, 161 nt
Organism: Triticum aestivum (bread wheat)
Lineage: Eukaryota; Viridiplantae; Streptophyta; Magnoliopsida; Poales; Poaceae
Source: Rfam